AACUUACCAGGUCAAGACAUGGGCGUGAUUGACAGGCUAAUGACUUUUCUCGAUUCCAUGGAUGGUGGUGCAUGGUCGCACUUAGUUGGUGCAGUGAUUUGUCAGGUUUAUUCCGGUAACGAACGAGACCUCGGCCUUGUAAAUAGCUAUGCUGCUUACAGGGACAUUGGCGGCUACGCCAAGGAAGCUCGAGGCAAUUGCAGAUCUGGAAUGCCCUUAGAUGUCCUGGGUCGCACGCGUGCUACAAUGACGCCACGAACGAGCUUGCGUGAUGAAAGUUACGCAUAAUCAGCAGUCGGCGUCUUAAGGGAUAGUCUCUUGUAACUGUGGGACUCCAACUAGGAAUGUCUCGUAAGCACAAGUCAACAUCUUGUGUUGAUUACGUCCCUGCUCUUUGUACACACCGCCCGUCGCUCCUACCGAUCGAGUGUUUAGGUGAAUUUGAUGGACGUAAGGAAGUCAAAUAAACCUGAGCACUAGAGAAGAGAAGUCGAUCAUCC
RNAcentral lists this ribosomal RNA (500 nucleotides) under uncultured Myrionecta. RNAcentral describes it as "bacterial SSU rRNA". It matches the Rfam family "Eukaryotic small subunit ribosomal RNA", at positions 1212 to 1796 of the family's 1831-position model. The record is from RNAcentral. Lineage: Eukaryota; Ciliophora; Litostomatea; Cyclotrichida; Mesodiniidae.